RNAcentral lists this long non-coding RNA (595 nucleotides) under Pongo abelii (Sumatran orangutan). RNAcentral describes it as "lincRNA". The record is from RNAcentral. Lineage: Eukaryota; Metazoa; Chordata; Mammalia; Primates; Hominidae.
CAGGUUUACCGAACUUACGCGCCCUUCUCCGCUAGCCCUGGCUGGGUCACCCCCACGACCCGGGACUCUCCCGCCGUUCCCGCCCGGGCUGCCUGCAAUGAGGUCCGCUCCUGAGGCCUCAGCCUCGCCGGGGGCAGGGCCCACUCCCGCCGUCGCCGCAGCUCCUUUCCGUCCCGGGGCCUGGGGGGCACUGUCCCACGGGUGAGGGCCGCCUCCAGCGCCCGGCCCAGCCAUGCGAACGCCUGGAGCCCGCGAGCUGCAGCUGCGGCCCUGAAGGUGCCGCACAUCCUGCCGGGUGGGUGAAGCGUGGCACUUUGGAAAACAAAGCGGGUGAUUCACCUGCCUCGGCCUCCCAAAGUGCUGGGAUUACAGGCAUGAAUGACGGUGCCCAGCUGACACAAGGUACUUUCUAUGAGGUCCUAGGAAUGAAGGAAAACAGGCAAUAAGGCAAGAAUCGCUGUCGAAGGAGUCUGCGCCACCUGCUCGCACAGCUCAGUUGUGCCUUCUGAGCCUGCUCGAGCCCAGUGUACAUAUGCCGUCUCCACGUGAUUAGAGAUUGCUGCUGCACGUGCCCAGUCCCGCGGCGGGGCUGGAA